RNAcentral lists this ribosomal RNA (469 nucleotides) under uncultured bacterium. Its description in RNAcentral is "bacterial SSU rRNA". It matches the Rfam family "Bacterial small subunit ribosomal RNA", at positions 330 to 795 of the family's 1533-position model. The record is from RNAcentral.
GCCAGACUCCUACGGGAGGCAGCAGUGAGGAAUAUUGGUCAAUGGACGCAAGUCUGAACCAGCCAAGUAGCGUGCAGGAUGACGGCCCUCCGGGUUGUAAACUGCUUUUAGUUGGGAAUAAAAGGGGGCUCGUGAGCCCCGUAUUGUAUGUACCAUCAGAAAAAGGACCGGCUAAUUCCGUGCCAGCAGCCGCGGUAAUACGGAAGGUCCGGGCGUUAUCCGGAUUUAUUGGGUUUAAAGGGAGCGUAGGCCGGCUUUUAAGUCAGCUGUGAAAGUCCGCGGCUCAACCGUGGAAUUGCAGUUGAAACUGGCAGUCUUGAGUACAGUAGAGGUGGGCGGAAUUCGUGGUGUAGCGGUGAAAUGCUUAGAUAUCACGAAGAACUCCGAUUGCGAAGGCAGCUCACUGGACUGCAACUGACACUGAGGCUCGAAAGUGUGGGUAUCAAACAGGAUUAGAUACCCCAGUAAC